GCUGUGCUUUUCCAGCACCACACUUUUUGACUGUGAUCUCCAACAUCGACAGUCCUCACUUUCUCCAUCUAGAUUCAUGCCCAACAACAACGGCAGGAAAAUGCGAGUCUGCUAAUUCCUGGUGACUUUGAAGACUUUGUCAGUUCCAGCAGAAAUCACAAAGGAUGAAAACUAAAGCCACCUUCUCCUAGAAUGUCACAUCCCUGCAUUGUGUGGACCUUACAGUCAACAAGCAAAUUACAAACAGGUGGAGGAAAUGGUGGACAUUUCAGCCUGACCUUAAAUUCACCUGGACCAUCUCUGACACCUCUCUUCCUUUCCUGGACCUUUUCAUCUCCAUCAACGGUCACUGACUCAACAUCAACAUUUUCUGCAAACCCACUGAUUCACACAGGUGAUGCUGUGCCAGAAGAUGCCUGAUAGUGCCUCAUCUGCAGCAGCCUCGUUCACUCUAUCAUGGAGACUUAUCUCAUCCAGCAACAGCCUGGGGACUUGGCUAACAAAAAAACCGUGGCUGAAACAAGGGGCACAUGUGAAUAGGAUAUGGUAAAAGCAAGAGAAGGAUCCAGGCUUCCCAUAUCGCAAGAUGGAGAAAUGUCUGCCCUUCGCUGAGGAGUCUUAUCCCAGAGAUAAUCAGUUUCAUGUGCAGAACACAACCAUGCAGGUGGAGUUCAUUGAUAAGAGGCACUACCUAUCUCUGUAAUCUUCAAUUCUCUUUGUAAGGCAUCCACCCAGAAGACCGAAUAAAAGGUCCCAUAUAUUUUAAAGUGGGAUCAAACACUAGAAAGAUUAA
Molecule: long non-coding RNA, 793 nt
Organism: Chiloscyllium plagiosum (whitespotted bambooshark)
Lineage: Eukaryota; Metazoa; Chordata; Chondrichthyes; Orectolobiformes; Hemiscylliidae
Source: RefSeq, a predicted model, not a curated record